CCCCAAAAGUGAAAGCAAAGUCAAGGUGCAGAAAGGCACUGGUCAGAGUGAAGAAUUCCCAAAAAGCAACAUUAUAGACUUCCCAGAGGGAAAAUGGCAGCAUCAUUUAGGAUAUAUCCCUGCUACCUCUGCCUUUGACUUUCAGAUGGAACUUGACAGAGCUAUUGCAGUCCUGGUGAAUGCCCUUUCCCUCUCAUCCUGGACAGCUGAUGAGGCCAGCUCAUCAGAUCCUAUAGCACAGGGUUCUGAGCAGGAUGGUGACCAGCCCUUCCCAACCAGUCAGCAGGACCCCAGGCAGGUACCUGAGGAGCUGCCCCUAUCCAGUG
Molecule: non-coding RNA, 326 nt
Organism: Phascolarctos cinereus (koala)
Lineage: Eukaryota; Metazoa; Chordata; Mammalia; Diprotodontia; Phascolarctidae
Source: RefSeq, a predicted model, not a curated record